This 1017-nucleotide unclassified non-coding RNA is filed under the name Hevea brasiliensis (rubber tree). The record is from RNAcentral. Lineage: Eukaryota; Viridiplantae; Streptophyta; Magnoliopsida; Malpighiales; Euphorbiaceae.
CACACACACACACACACACAGACUUACACACACAUGGGGAAAAGGAAAGAGGAGAGACCUCAAUCCUGCACCAGUAUUUGAGCCUCUAGAUUGAAGGAUACUUGGAUAGUGACACCUUCUUGUUCAAAGCCUGCAACAUUUCUUGCAUGCUCAAUGCCCUAAUUGAAGACCCAAGUUUGCAAUCAACAGUCAAGUCAAUGAAGAUCAUGAAUGACAAAACAGAUUAGGCAGACAAAGAAAAAGAAAUCACUAAAAAUCCACACAAAUGCAUCUCAAAGGAAAAGGAUAUUGUAUAGCACUGAGCUAUAACUAGCAUAGCUGGUUAAAUAUAUAAAUACUUUUAUUGGUUGGGUGGGAUGGAGAGAUGAAAUAGGUGACGAGGUGCCUGUACACUUGAAUUCAAAGAUGAAAAUAACCUCUUCCCACAAAGCACAUUCACAGGAACAAAGUUGCAUUUCAAUGCCUAUUGCCUACAAGUUUGAAUUGACUAUCGUAAACCGCCAUGACCAUAUUAGCAAGCAACACAUGGUCCAUUUCAGUAAAUCAGGAUCACAUGAUGUAAAUAGCAAAGAUCAUAAGAAAUUGUGAUACUGAAUUUCGAUUACUAAGUCAUCAAAGAUUAUAAUACAAUGCUUCUCAAAUUGCAAAGAAAUUUUCAAAAGGGCAGAAUUCACCGUUGAAUAUAAGCAAAAGUGAUUAGUAAAUAUGCAAUUUUCAGUUGAUAAUAGUAACAAACAUUAAAGUCAUGAAAAGCAGCAUAAACAUUUGGAAGAAAAUUCCUAAUACCAUUAAUCUCCCAGCAUUCGUAACUGCAAGUGUUGCUUCAGUGGGCUCUGCAGUCAAAAUUGGUUUCUCCAAUGGAGCAGCAUUUUUCACAAAAGGGUGCUCCAACAGUUGAGCAGCUGUAGGGCGAUGUCAUGAGUUUCGUUGCAAGCACUGCCUCACAAAGUCCUUCCCAUCAUCUGACAUAUUAUCAGGAAUUGCAGGAAGCUACUUGCCGUUUCCAAUCUUAAACAU